Molecule: transfer RNA, 84 nt
Filed under: Solirubrobacterales bacterium
Lineage: Bacteria; Bacillati; Actinomycetota; Thermoleophilia; Solirubrobacterales
Also listed under: 1 other name
Description: tRNA-Leu
Rfam family: tRNA
About the family: Transfer RNA (tRNA) molecules are approximately 80 nucleotides in length. Their secondary structure includes four short double-helical elements and three loops (D, anti-codon, and T loops).
Source: RNAcentral
GCGGCUGUGGCGGAAUUGGCAUACGCGAUAGCUUCAGGUGCUAUUGGGGGAAACCCCGUGGAGGUUCGAGUCCUCUCAGCCGCA